GACGAACGCUGGCGGCGUGCUUAACACAUGCAAGUCGAACGGAAAGGCCCUGCUUUUGUGGGGUGCUCGAGUGGCGAACGGGUGAGUAACACGUGAGUAACCUGCCCUUGACUUUGGGAUAACUUCAGGAAACUGGGGCUAAUACCGGAUAGGAGCUCCUGCUGCAUGGUGGGGGUUGGAAAGUUUCGGCGGUUGGGGAUGGACUCGCGGCUUAUCAGCUUGUUGGUGGGGUAGUGGCUUACCAAGGCUUUGACGGGUAGCCGGCCUGAGAGGGUGACCGGCCACAUUGGGACUGAGAUACGGCCCAGACUGCUACGGUAGGCAGCAGGGGGGAAUAUGGCACAAUGGGCGGAAGCCUGAGGCAGCAACGCCGCGUGCGGGAUGACGGCCUUCGGGUUGUAAACCGCUUUCGCCUGUGACGAAGCGUGAGUGACGGUAAUGGGUAAAGAAGCACCGGCUAACUACGUG
Molecule: ribosomal RNA, 468 nt
Filed under: uncultured bacterium
Lineage: Bacteria
Description: partial 16S ribosomal RNA
Rfam family: Bacterial small subunit ribosomal RNA
Source: RNAcentral